AUUUAUGGAACAUGUUUAUGUGGUAAUUUUAAGUGUUACAAAAAGAAUUUUUCUCAUUAAUA
This 62-nucleotide transfer RNA is filed under the name Nymphon brevicaudatum. RNAcentral's name for it is "tRNA-Leu". The record is from RNAcentral. Lineage: Eukaryota; Metazoa; Arthropoda; Pycnogonida; Pantopoda; Nymphonidae.